GCAUGAAGUCGGAAUUGCUAGUAAUCGCAGAUCAGCAUGCUGCGGUGAAUACGUUCCCGGGCCUUGUACACACCGCCCGUCACACCAUGGGAGUCGGUAACACCCGAAGUCGGUAGCCUAACCGUAAGGAGGGCGCCGCCGAAGGUGGGAUUGAUGACUGGGGUGAAGUCGUAACAAGGUAUC
RNAcentral lists this ribosomal RNA (183 nucleotides) under uncultured bacterium. Its description in RNAcentral is "partial 16S ribosomal RNA". It matches the Rfam family "Bacterial small subunit ribosomal RNA", at positions 1318 to 1500 of the family's 1533-position model. The record is from RNAcentral.